RNAcentral lists this ribosomal RNA (292 nucleotides) under uncultured bacterium. RNAcentral's name for it is "partial 16S ribosomal RNA". It matches the Rfam family "Bacterial small subunit ribosomal RNA", at positions 335 to 620 of the family's 1533-position model. The record is from RNAcentral.
GCCCUACGGGAGGCAGCAGUAGGGAAUCUUCCACAAUGGACGAAAGUCUGAUGGAGCAACGCCGCGUGAGUGAAGAAGGGUUUCGGCUCGUAAAGCUCUGUUGGUAGUGAAGAAAGAUAGAGGUAGUAACUGGCCUUUAUUUGACGGUAAUUACUUAGAAAGUCACGGCUAACUACGUGCCAGCAGCCGCGGUAAUACGUAGGUGGCAAGCGUUGUCCGGAUUUAUUGGGCGUAAAGCGAGUGCAGGCGGUUCAAUAAGACUGUUGUGAAAGCCUUCGGCUCAACCGGGGAA